UACUAGAUGGGUGGAGUGGCGAACGGGUGAGUAAUGCGUAGGAAUAUACCUUAAAGAGGGGGAUAACCUGGAAACUCAGGCUAAUACCGCGUAAUCUCCGAGGAGAAAAGCUGGGGACCUUCGGGCCUGGCUUUAAGAAUAGCCUGCGUCCGAUUAGCUAGUUGGUGGGGUAAAGGCCUACCAAGGCCGAUCGGUAGCUGGUCUGAGAGGAUGAACAGCCACACUGGGACUGAGACACGGCCCAGUCCUACGGGAGGCAGCAGUGGGGAAUAUUGGACAAUGGGGGGAACCCUGAUCCAGCAACCGCGUGUGUGAAGAAGGCCUGGGGGUUGUAAAGCACUUUCAGUGGGGAGGAGGAUUAAGGUUAAGAGCUAAUUAAUUGGACGUUACCCACAGAAGAAGCACCGGCUAACUCCGUGAGCAGCCGCGGUAAUACGGAGGGUGCGAGCGUUAAUCGGAAUUACUGGGCGUAAAGGGCGUAAGUGGUCAAUUAAGUUAGAUGUAAAAACCCUGGGCUUAACCUGGGGCUGAGAUUAUACUGGUUGACUGGAGUAUUGGAGAGGGUAGUGGAAUUUCCGGUGUAGCGGUGAAAUGUAGAGAUCGGAAGGAACACCAGUGGCGAAGGCGGCUACCUGGCCAGAUACUGACACUAGCACGAAAGCGUGGGGAGCAAACAGGAUUAGAUACCCUGGUAGUCCACGCUGUAAACUGUCAACUAGCCGUUGGUCAUAUUAAGAUGAUAAGUGGCGCAGCAAACGCGAUAAGUG
RNAcentral lists this ribosomal RNA (767 nucleotides) under uncultured bacterium. Its description in RNAcentral is "bacterial SSU rRNA". It matches the Rfam family "Bacterial small subunit ribosomal RNA", at positions 80 to 866 of the family's 1533-position model. The record is from RNAcentral.